This 253-nucleotide ribosomal RNA is filed under the name uncultured bacterium. RNAcentral's name for it is "partial 16S ribosomal RNA". It matches the Rfam family "Bacterial small subunit ribosomal RNA", at positions 524 to 776 of the family's 1533-position model. The record is from RNAcentral.
UACGAAGGUCCCGAGCGUUAUCCGGAUUUAUUGGGUUUAAAGGGUGCGUAGGCGGGUUAUUAAGUCAGUGGUGAAAGCCUACAGCUUAACUGUAGAAUUGCCAUUGAUACUGAUGAUCUUGAGUACGAUUGAGGUAGGCGGAAUGUGUCAUGUAGCGGUGAAAUGCUUAGAUAUGACACAGAACACCGAUUGCGAAGGCAGCUUACUAAGUCGUAACUGACGCUGAUGCACGAAAGCGUGGGGAGCAAACAGG